This 219-nucleotide non-coding RNA is filed under the name Syntrophaceticus schinkii. Its description in RNAcentral is "T-box sequence". It matches the Rfam family "T-box leader". From Rfam's summary of the family: Uncharged tRNA acts as the effector for transcription antitermination of genes in the T-box leader family. T-boxes are found upstream of many aminoacyl-tRNA synthetase genes and some amino acid biosynthetic genes usually in Gram-positive bacteria. Lineage: Bacteria; Bacillati; Bacillota; Clostridia; Thermoanaerobacterales; Thermoanaerobacterales Family III. Incertae Sedis. The record is from RNAcentral.
CUUAAAACGAUGAUCAGGAAGAGUAUGCUGUUAUGGGUUGAGUCAGCGAGCCGGGGAGGGUGUGAGCCCGGCAGAGGGGACAGCAGAAAAUCACCUGGGAGUGCCUGCCGAAAAAAUGAUGAUGAGUAAGCAAGGCCGUUUGAGGAGCGUUACUCCUUUAAAAAGAGCCUUCUUGUAGAAGGAAGCAGGGUGGUACCGCGGGAACCUCUCGCCCCUUAC